GGACAACCUACCCUUAGGACGGGGAUAAACCCGGGAAACUGGGUAUAAUACCCGAUAGUCCUCGAAAGCUGGAAUGCAUCGAGGACGAAAGCUCCGGUGCCUAAGGAUGGGUCUGCGGCCUAUCAGGUAGUAGUGGGUGUAGCGUACCUACUAGCCUACGACGGGUACGGGUUGUGAGAGCAAGAGCCCGGAGAUGGAUUCUGAGACACGAAUCCAGGCCCUACGGGGUGCAGCAGGCGCGAAAACUUUACAAUGCUGGCAACAGCGAUAAGGGGACCUCGAGUGCCAGGUUACAAAUCUGGCUGUCGUGAUGCCUAAAAAGCAGUCUAUAGCAAGGGCCGGGCAAGACCGGUGCCAGCCGCCGCGGUAACACCGGCGGCUCGAGUGGUAACCGUUAUUAUUGGGUCUAAAGGGUCUGUAGCCGGCCGGAUAAGUCUCUUGGGAAAUCUGGCAGCUCAACUGUCAGGCUUUCAGGAGAUACUGUCUGGCUCGAGGCCGGGAGAGGUGAGAGGUACUUCAGGGGUAGGGGUGAAAUCUUGUAAUCCUUGAAGGACCACCAGUGGCGAAGGCGUCUCACCAGAACGGACCUGACGGCAAGGGACGAAAGCUAGGGGCACGAACCGGAUUAGAUACCCGGGUAGUCCUAGCCGUAAACGAUGCGCGUUAGGUGUAUCGGUGACCACGAGUCACCGAGGUGCCGAAGGGAAACUGUGAAACGUGCCGCCUGGGAAGUACGGUCGCAAGGCUGAAACUUAA
Molecule: ribosomal RNA, 756 nt
Filed under: Methanospirillum sp. enrichment culture clone AD_Archaea_19
Lineage: Archaea; Methanobacteriati; Methanobacteriota; Methanomicrobia; Methanomicrobiales; Methanospirillaceae
Description: bacterial SSU rRNA
Rfam family: Archaeal small subunit ribosomal RNA
Source: RNAcentral